This 360-nucleotide ribosomal RNA is filed under the name uncultured organism. RNAcentral describes it as "bacterial SSU rRNA". It matches the Rfam family "Bacterial small subunit ribosomal RNA", at positions 45 to 433 of the family's 1533-position model. The record is from RNAcentral.
GGCCUAACACAUGCAAGUCGAACGCUCUAGCAAUAGAGAGUGGCAGACGGGUGAGUAACGCGUGGGAAUCUUCCCAGGGGUACGGAAUAGCUCAGGGAAACUUGGGGUAAUACCGUAUGAUGCCGAAAGGCCAAAGAUUUAUCGCCCUUGGAUGAGCCCGCGUCGGAUUAGCUAGUUGGUGAGGUAAAGGCUCACCAAGGCGACGAUCCGUAGCAGGUCUGAGAGGAUGAUCUGCCACACUGGGACUGAGACACGGCCCAGACUCCUACGGGAGGCAGCAGUGGGGAAUUUUGGACAAUGGGCGAAAGCCUGAUCCAGCCAUGCCGCGUGAGUGAAGAAGGCCUUCGGGUUGUAAAGCUC